Molecule: long non-coding RNA, 803 nt
Organism: Dicentrarchus labrax (European seabass)
Lineage: Eukaryota; Metazoa; Chordata; Actinopteri; Moronidae
Exons: 2
Source: RefSeq, a predicted model, not a curated record
AGUGGAUUCAAAAUGAAAAUUAAUAUAAUUGCUAAAUUAAGGCACAGUUUAAAGGGGACAUAUUAUGCAAAACCAACUUUUUAAUCAUUUGAUUAUGUACAUUUGGGAAUCUGGAGGGCCUAUCAGCAGGCAAAGUGUGAAAAAAUAGGACUCAGUCGUGUUUUUGUGGGCUGCCUCAAGUCCUAAUACACGAGAUAAAUCACUCAAUUUCAGAGGUCCAGACUUUUUGACGUCAUUUAGUCUGCAUGUUGCCACCCACCGCGGUUUACUUCCUGUUGACUAUCGGAGCUCCGCCAUUGUUACUAUAAAAGCGCAAGCUAGCAGAGAACAAGCAAACGAGCCCAGCCUGCAGCCUGCAGUCCAAUGUCUGGGCAAAGGCUUCAGCAGGGAAACUGUUCAGUCAUUGGCUGCACAGCCCAACACUAAUUUAUAUAUGUAUGAACACAGUGGAUUUAUUUUGGUUUUUGACGGCAAUAUCCCGCGGGAAAACCGGAAGGUGUGUGAACCACUUUGUGUCGGACUGUUUUCACAACCUCGGUCAGUACAACACUGGACUGACUGAAAGACUGUUCCUGAAAGAGGGAUUGUACCAACUGUCUGUGGAGAGACGGCAGAGGAAGUCACUGUGAGCUGAUGAAGCUCAGGUGUUCCUGGACCCAUCAGAGGACAGAGACAGCUGCAGCAUCAGGACAGCCUGAAGGACGCGAUCUGCAAAGUUUACAUAGAAGUUCUAGCUUUGUUACUUACAACAUGUGUAACUGGAAUAUGAAUGAAACAUAAAUAAAGUGUUUUAUUUUUAAGAA